CUACGGAAGGUCCGGGCGUUAUCCGGAUUUAUUGGGUUUAAAGGGAGCGCAGGCGGAGAUGCAAGCGUGACGUCAAAUUUCGGGGCUCAACCCCGUCUCGCGUCGCGAACUGCGUCCCUUGGUUGCGGGAAGGGGAGGCGGAACUCGUGGUGUAGCGGUGAAAUGCAUAGAUAUCACGAAGAACUCCGAUCGCGAAGGCAGCCUCCCGGCCCGUCAACGACGCUCAUGCUCGAAGGUGCGGGUAUCAAACAGGAUUAGAUACCCUGGUAGUCCGCACAGUAAACGAUGGACACCCGCGGUUUGGCCUAUAUGGCUGAGCCGCCAAGCGAAAGCGUUAAGUGUCCCACCUGGGGAGUACGCCGGCAACGGUGGAACUCAAAUGAAUUGACGGGG
Molecule: ribosomal RNA, 393 nt
Filed under: uncultured bacterium
Lineage: Bacteria
Description: partial 16S ribosomal RNA
Rfam family: Bacterial small subunit ribosomal RNA
Source: RNAcentral